CUGCGAGUGAAGCGGGAAAAGCUCAGACUGAAAAUCUUCGGAAUUGUAGUCUGGAGAAGUAUGGUCAGCCGAUGAUGAUGAGUGAAGUCUUCUGGAAAGGAGCGCCUUGGAGGGUGACAAUCCCGUACUUUACACAAUCAUCAGCGCUCUGUGAUACGUUCUCUACGAGUCGGGUUGUUUGGGAAUGCAGCUCAAAAUGGGUGGUAAAUUCCAUCUAAAGCUAAAUAUUGGCGAGAGACCGAUAGCGAACAAGUACCGUGAGGGAAAGAUGAAAAGCACUUUGGAAAGAGAGUUAAACAGUACGUGAAAUUGUUAAAAGGGAAACGAUUGAAGUCAGUCGUGUUUAUUGGAUUCAGCCGGUCUUCGGUGUACUUCCUUUAAACGGGUCAACAUCAGUUUUGUUCGGUGGAUAAAGGUAUUAGGAAUGUGGCUUCUUCGGAAGUGUUAUAGCCUAGUAUUGCAUACACUGGAGGAGACUGAGGACUGCAGCUCGCCUUUAUGGCCGGGGUUCGCCCACGUUCGAGCUUAGG
RNAcentral lists this ribosomal RNA (530 nucleotides) under uncultured Trichosporon. RNAcentral's name for it is "eukaryotic LSU rRNA". It matches the Rfam family "Eukaryotic large subunit ribosomal RNA", at positions 87 to 621 of the family's 3401-position model. Lineage: Eukaryota; Fungi; Basidiomycota; Tremellomycetes. The record is from RNAcentral.